RNAcentral lists this long non-coding RNA (795 nucleotides) under Lupinus mutabilis. RNAcentral describes it as "partial ncRNA". The record is from RNAcentral. Lineage: Eukaryota; Viridiplantae; Streptophyta; Magnoliopsida; Fabales; Fabaceae.
UAUCAUCCUUGCCAAACCAUUUCUACCUCUCACACAAUGCCACGUGUUCACAUAUUGCACAUUAAAAAAUGCACAAUUUGUAUGCUUUUCUAAUUUGGCAGAAUCUACAAAUGAUGAGGGAUUCAAUAUAUUUCUUGAGUUCAACCUUGAGGACAAGGUUGAUUUUGAAGGGGUCGGUAAUGAUAGGAUAAUAAUUAUAAUGUUUGUUAUAAGAUUAAUUAGAAUGGGAAUAGGAUAAAAUAUUAUAGUUGAUUAUUUAGAUAGUAAUAUUACAUUAGUAUUUCUAGAAUGUUCCUUUCAUGUAAGAUGAUGACACUUGUAUGGUCAUCAUCAUAUUAGGUUUUCAUCCUUUCUCUUUAAAUAUGAUGUUGUUUAUGCAUAGUAGGAAUCAAUGAAAAAUGAAGUAUUUUCCCCUUUUAUUAUGUUCUUAGUUAAUCUUUCCUUAGGAGUAGAGUAAUUUUAUAGUUCUUGGUAGGUUGCAUAUUUUGUAACCUAUCAAUUGGUGCUUUCAUUCAUACUCAUCCUUCCAUAACAACAUGUAUUAUUCAUCUCAUACUUACAAUCAUCCACUAUCACCCACUUAUUAUAAUCAUCAUGACCAUACCUCACAACCAUUUCCAGAUUAUCAAACACAACAACCCCACCCUUAUUUUCUUUCAUUUCAACAAUGGCCAAUACCACAUCCACCCUCAAAGCCACCACCACCAGCAUCUUAUUCCACAUAUCCUCAUUUUCAUCAAACACCCUCACAACCACAAACAUAUUAUCCUCUUCACAAACAAACCUCACAAUCAC